Molecule: ribosomal RNA, 497 nt
Filed under: uncultured bacterium
Lineage: Bacteria
Description: partial 16S ribosomal RNA
Rfam family: Bacterial small subunit ribosomal RNA
Source: RNAcentral
GACGAACGCUGGCGGCGUGCCUAACACAUGCAAGUCGAGCGAACAGACGAGGAGUUUGCUCCUUUGACGUUAGCGGCGGACGGGAGAGUAACACGUAGGUAACCUACCUAUAAGACUGGGAUAAUAACGGGAAACCGGAUCUAAUACCGGAUAAUAUUUCGCACCGCGUGGUUCGAUAGUUAAAGAUGGCUUUUCUAUCACUUAUAGAUGGACCUGCGCCGUAUUAGCUAGUGGGUAAGGUAACGGCUUACCAAGGCUACGAUGCGUAGCCGACCGGAGAGGGUGGUCGGCCACACGGGAAGUGAGACACGGUCCAGACUCCUGCGGGAAGCCGCAGUAGGGAAUCUUCCGCAAUGGGGGAGAGCCUGACAGAGCAACGCCGCGUGAGUGAUGAAGGUGUUCGGAUCGUAAAGCUCUGUUAUUAGGGGAGAACAAACGUGUAAGUAACCGUGCACGUCUUGACGGUACCGGGUCAAAAAGCCCCGGCUAACUACGUG